RNAcentral lists this long non-coding RNA (279 nucleotides) under Arabidopsis lyrata. RNAcentral describes it as "long non-coding RNA (ALYR_LNC000974)". Lineage: Eukaryota; Viridiplantae; Streptophyta; Magnoliopsida; Brassicales; Brassicaceae. The record is from RNAcentral.
AGGAAGCCUAAGGCAUGCCCGGGCUAGUGUAACUGAUCUCGCUACUCAAUCCAUAUCGUCAGUUAUAUGGUUGCUUCAUCCAAGAGAGGGUAAGAUGGCCGAGAGCGGACCUUUUUGGAUUUAUAAUCCAAGUCGAGAGUGGAGUUACAGGAACAGCCGUCUGAUGGAAAAAAACUUUAACGUUCGGUAGUUAUGCUUCGCAAUAGAUCGACCCAGUUCCCGUUCUUUUCCGGUGCACUCGCUUUAUAUCUCCGAUACACAAGGAAGGACGCGGUGGGA